Molecule: microRNA precursor, 61 nt
Filed under: Monopterus albus (swamp eel)
Lineage: Eukaryota; Metazoa; Chordata; Actinopteri; Synbranchiformes; Synbranchidae
Description: Mal-Mir-425_pre stem-loop
Source: RNAcentral
AAUGACACGUUUUCUCCCGGAUUGCUAACAAUAAACGCAACCGGGAAUUUCGUGUCAGCCA